GCAGCGUCGGGACGAUGAC
RNAcentral lists this small nuclear RNA (19 nucleotides) under Arabidopsis thaliana (thale cress). RNAcentral's name for it is "snRNA_10508". The record is from RNAcentral. Lineage: Eukaryota; Viridiplantae; Streptophyta; Magnoliopsida; Brassicales; Brassicaceae.